Molecule: long non-coding RNA, 1754 nt
Organism: Cicer arietinum (chickpea)
Lineage: Eukaryota; Viridiplantae; Streptophyta; Magnoliopsida; Fabales; Fabaceae
Source: RefSeq, a predicted model, not a curated record
UCAAACUCUAGCUUCUACCACUAUUUUGAAUCCGCCCAGACUUUUACAUUUUACAGUCAAAAAUGGUAGUGGUAAAGGGAAGCAAGAGGGUAUUGCCCAUUGGAUUUGUAAUGGUAGGUUGAAUUUGAAUAGUACCUUUUGGAGUAGGUUGAGUUUGAAUAGAUCAAAAAUCUGUUACCAAGAAUGGUGAGGGCUUGGAUUAUGUGUUAAUUAAACAGUUCAACGGACCAGUAAGACAUGUUACUUCGGUAGAGAUUACUAUGACCCGGAAUCAAUUUAUGUACUUCAACCUUGAGGACAAGGUUCCUUUGGAGGAGUGGAGUGUUCUAAGGGCCUAGUCCGAUACUGUUAAAUCUCUUAGGGUUUAUGCACAUUGGUUUGAAUCCUAACAUUCCUGAUGUAAUGUUGGGAGUAGUCAGUAGUUAAUAAUGACAACUCACUAGGGCUUGCCCAAAACUUAUAAUUAGUCAGUAGUUAGUUAGCAAACCUAUAACAGAAAAACUCCAAUAAUGUUGAGUAACUCUGUUGUACUUUUUGAGAUUCAGAUGCCUAGUGCGUUGGCUAGGUGACAGAGAGGAUUAUCCUCUGAUUAGUUAUUCUUGUUUUUUCAAAUAAAUCCUUGUUCUAGAUUUCUGGUAGCCUAACAGAAUUUGAGGACAAUUUGGAGGAAUCUGAAAGAGAAGAGUCAGAGGCGUAUGCCUCAUUAAACGACAAAUAAAAUGACUAUGUUGGGGUUAAAGUUUAGACAUUUACGUUAUGUUUGUGUUCUGUUCUAUCAUUUUGUUGUUAGUUGGAGUCUUGAACUUGAUAGUCAUAAGACAUAUUAGUAGCUUAUGCUACGUUAUGAUGAGACUUGUGAUAUUUUCUAUCCGUUUCGUUUAUUCUUAGCAUAUGUUAGUUUUUGCAAUUAUUUUCUGGAGUAUGUGUAUAUAACACAUACACAAAUAUCCAUCAUGCUUGCAUCACAGGCUGCAAAGCCAUCUGCCAUACGUAGCGGAUUUUUGACUGUCUGUCAUGAUCAGCCAUCUUACAUUUUUGCUUGUCAAAGGGUCUUAUAUUGUCAUAUCUGCACUGCACUAUUUUAGUUGAAAAGAAAAAUUAAUUUUUGGAGCUAAACUUGGAAGGUGUUUAUAAUUCAAUAAUAUUCAGAAAAUGAGUUCAUGAGAUCUUGUUAUCUUUGACUUUUUUUUCCUUCUAAUCAAGUGCUUCUCUCAUGUGCUACUACUCAUAUUAUACUCUGAUCUUGGUUUUCAAAUGAUCCAGGCUGAAGAGUGUUAUCUAUCACUUCAGAGAUAAUAGAGAAUUUCCUCGUUUAAGAAUUGGGAUUGGGAAGCCUCCUGGGCAAAUGGAUCCUAAAGCGUUUUUGCUUCAAAAGUUUAAUGUAACAGCUAGACAACGAAUUGAUGAGGCUUUGCACGAGGGGGUUGAUGCCUUGAAGCUCCUUCUAUUUAAAGGUCUGGAUGUGAGUGCAAAAAGGUUCAACAAAGAGCAGAAAUAUAAGCACUUAAGAGUACAGACAUUACCAGUUUGACUGGAUUCCGUGAUGGGAUGUUGCAUUAUAAGUAUGGUUAGUUCCUCCUUUUUAAGGUUGCAAUAAAUUGCCUCGGUUCUUAUUGAUGUGUAAAACGUAAGGAUAAAAUGGGCUGAAUUUUGUAAAGAUCUCUCAAGUAUGUAUAUUAUAUAUAGCUUUUCAAGUGGUUUUUGUAACUUUUCCCCAUCUUGGCUUGUUUUAAUUUGGAUAUUGUCUUUGUUCA